AAAAGUCAAGCUACUAAGGGCAUACGGUGGAUGCCUUGGCACUAAGAGCCGAUGAAGGACGCGGUAAGCUGCGAAAAGCCACGGGGAACUGCAAGCAAGUCUUGAUCCGUGGAUGUCCGAAUGGGGAAACCCGGCCAUCGUCAUGGAUGGUCACCCGCAAGGGAGGGAACCUGGGGAACUGAAACAUCUAAGUACCCGGAGGAAGAGAAAUCAAACGAGAUGCCCACAGUAGCGGCGAGCGAAGAGGGCAGAGCCCAAACCGAGAAGCUCCGGCUUUUCGGGGUUGAGGACCGGCAGAAUCGAAGUCAGGCCUAGUCGAAUUACCUGGAAAGGUAAGCCAGAGAGGGUAAAAGCCCCGUAGACGAAAGGCAGAGCAGAGAGGCCGAGAUCCAGAGUACCACGAAGCACGAGGAAUUUUGUGGGAAGUCGGGGGGACCACCCUCCAAGGCUAAAACACUUCUUAGCGACCGAUAGCGCAUAGUACCGUGAGGGAAAGGUGAAAAGAACCCCGGUGAAAUAGUACCUGAAACCGUAUGUCUACAAGCAGUCGAAGCGAAAGCGACGGCGUGCCUAUUGAAGAAUGAACCGACGAGUUACUGUUGCUAGCGAGGUUAAGUGGAAAACAUGGAGCCGCAGCGAAAGCGAGUCUGAACAGGGCGUUCAGUUAGUAAUAGUAGACCCGAAACCGUAGUGAUCUAUCCAUGGCCAGGUUGAAGCACAGGUAAAAUUGUGUGGAGGACCGAACUCGUGAGCGUUGAAAAGCUUUGGGAUGAAUCGUGGAUAGCGGUGAAAUUCAAUCGAACGCGGAGAUAGCUGGUUCUCCCCGAAAUAGCUUUAGGGCUAGCCUCGAGGUUGAGAGUAUAGGCGGUAGAGCACUGAUCGGGCUAGGGGCCAUACCGGUUACCGAACCUAGUCAAACUCGAAUGGAUAUACUGUAGAGCCUUGAGUCAGACUGCGAGUGCUAAGAUCCGUAGUCGAAAGGGAAACAGCCCAGACCACCAGCUAAGGUCCCAAAAUAUAUGUUAAGUGGAAAAGGAUGUGGAGUUUCCAAAACAACCAGGAUGUUGGCUUAGAAGCAGCCACCAUUUAAAGAGUGCGUAAUAGCUCACUGGUCGAGAGACUCUGCGCCGAAGAUGUCCGGGGCUAAAGUACGAAACCGAAGCUGUGGCUGUAUACGUAAAGUAUACGGGGUAGAGCGUUCCCAUAGGGUAGAAGUCGAACUGGAAGGUUCGGUGGACUUGUGGGAAGUGAGAAUGCCGGUAUGAGUAGCGAAAGACAGGUGAGAAUCCUGUCCACCGAAAGCCUAAGGGUUCCUGAGCAACGAUCGUCGUCUCAGGGUAAGUCGGGACCUAAGCCGAGGCAUGGAGCGUAGGAGAUGGACAACUGGUUGAUAUUCCAGUACCGGCAGCAAUCGUUUGAACGAUGGAGUGACACAGAAGGGCAGGCAAGCAUGCGAAUGGAAGAGCAUGUGUAAGCGUGCAGGCUGGUGCACAGGCAAAUCCGUGUACUGAGGCUGAGGCGUGAUGCGGAGUGAGCAGAGAUGCGAGCGAAGUUGUUGACCCCACACUGUCGAGAAAAGCUUCUAGUGAGAGAGCUGCCGCCCGUACCGUAAACCGACACAGGUAUGCGGGAGAGAAUCUAAGGUGCGCGGGAAAACUCUCGUUAAGGAACUCGGCAAAAUGGCCCCGUAACUUCGGGAGAAGGGUAGCCACUGUUGUGAAGUCCCAUGCGGAUGGAGCCUAGUGUGGUCGCAGAGAAGAGGCGCAAGCGACUGUUUACCACAAACACAGGUGCCUGCUAAAGCGAAAGCUGAUGUAUAGGUGCUGACACCUGCCCGGUGCUGGAAGGUUAAGGAAGGAUGUUCGGGUUCGACCCAAAGCAUUUGACUGAAGCCCCAGUAAACGGCGGCCGUAACUAUAACGGUCCUAAGGUAGCGAAAUUCCUUGUCGGGUAAGUUCCGACCCGCACGAAAGGUGUAACGACUUGCGCACUGUCUCAACGAGGGACCCGGUGAAAUUGAAGUACCUGUGAAGAUGCAGGUUACCCGCGACUGGACAGAAAGACCCCAUGGAGCUUUACUGCAACCUGACAUUGGGUUUUGAUACAUUACGUACAGGAUAGGUGGGAGGCAUGGAAAGCUGGACGCUAGUCUGGCUGGAGCCGCCGUUGGGAUACCACCCUUGAUGUAUUGAAAUUCUAACCGCGAGAGUAACGAAAUCCGGGACAGUGUCAGGCGGGCAGUUUGACUGGGGCGGUCGCCUCCUAAAGAGUAACGGAGGCGCCCAAAGGUUCCCAGCGCGGCCGGAAAUCGUUCGACGAGUGUAAAGGCAGAAGGGAGCUUGACUGCGAGACGGACAGGUCGAGCAGGGACGAAAGUCGGGCUUAGUGAUCCGGUGGUGCCGAGUGGAAGGGCCAUCGCUCAACGGAUAAAAGCUACCCUGGGGAUAACAGGCUAAUCUCUCCCAAGAGUCCAUAUCGACGGGGAGGUUUGGCACCUCGAUGUCGGCUCAUCACAUCCUGGGGCUGAAGUCGGUCCCAAGGGUUGGGCUGUUCGCCCAUUAAAGUGGUACGUGAGCUGGGUUCAGAACGUCGUGAGACAGUUCGGUCCCUAUCCAUCGCGGGCGCAAGAGAUUUGAAGGGGGCUGCUCCUAGUACGAGAGGACCGGAGUGGACGAACCGCUGGUGUACCAAUUAUCCCGCCAGGGGUACAGUUGGGUAGCUACGUUCGGAAAGGAUAAACGCUGAAAGCAUCUAAGCGUGAAACCAGCCUUAAGAUGAGAUCUCUCAUAGAGCAAUCUAGUAAGACACCUUAAAGAAGAUGAGGUUGAUAGGUCGGGAGUGUAAGUACAGCAAUGUAUUGAGCGGACCGAUACUAAUAUGUCGAGGGCUUGACUUA
This 2896-nucleotide ribosomal RNA is filed under the name Phascolarctobacterium sp. Its description in RNAcentral is "23S ribosomal RNA". It matches the Rfam family "Bacterial large subunit ribosomal RNA". Lineage: Bacteria; Bacillati; Bacillota; Negativicutes; Acidaminococcales; Acidaminococcaceae. The record is from RNAcentral.